UCUGCGCCCCGACCUGAGUGGAGCUCCUUUUUUCCUUGGCUAAGUCUUUCUGCUUGGGCGAGGUUAGUAUAAGGAAAAAAGAGCGGGAACGGAGGGUGGAAUUGUGC
Molecule: unclassified non-coding RNA, 107 nt
Filed under: Kaistella antarctica
Lineage: Bacteria; Pseudomonadati; Bacteroidota; Flavobacteriia; Flavobacteriales; Weeksellaceae
Description: Chryseobacterium antarcticum Flavo-1 RNA
Source: RNAcentral